AUGGGAGUGUCUAGUUGCAGGAAACAAGCUCAGGGCUUCCACUGAUUCUACAUUAUGGCACUCAGGAAAUAUUAGUUGCAUGAAUGAAGGCUGCAUUUUCAUUAGAACAACAUGCAGUUCAACCCCUUCAUGUUUCAAUGAGGGUUCAGAUACCCAGAGGGCUAUGUGAUCAUCCUGGAGCCCACUCUGCUAACAAUUAGCAGAACGGAAGCCUUAAUUUCCAGAAUCUAGUGAACUUGAUGAGUCAAGACCAUUGCAAUUGGAAAUCUGUUCUCCUCUGCUGCUGCAUCCCCCGCUUAAUACUCAAGCCAGAAACCAGGAAGGCUGUGGCUUGCCUUUUCACUUCUUGUGUCCUGUUUAAGAAAUAUCUGCUAUCCCAAGCAUCUGGCAUCUUUCUUGACAUACGUAGCAGUUGCUUUUUGACAGCUUGCUUCUGGAGUGAAUGAAUAAAUUAAUAAAUUUAUUCAUUUGAUAUUCAGUGACAUGUGAUAUUCAGUGAUCCAUUUUGCAGGAUAAACCAGUAUUCUGGACUAAGCCAACCUGGGAGACCCUAGGAAGCCUGUUUGAGAAAGUGACAUUUAAAUUGAGACUUGGCUGUGGCUGUGGCUACAUAUCUAAUUGCAAACUCCUAGAGAAGGGCUCAACAGUGAGUGUUGAGGCUGCACAGAGGAGGAAGGUAGCACAAUGAUGGAAGGCUUCCUAAAGAGGACAGCAGAUAGAGCAUGAAUGAGACCCCCAAAGAAGGGAAGCAAAUGAGGCAAGCCCCACAAUUAUUCUGGCUUUUUACCUAGAGACAAUCUAUGAACUGUGGGGCAAACAACAAAGAUCAAAACAGCUUGGCAAUCUGAAUUGAGGAUGAAGACACCAUUAGGGGCAGAAGUACAGGUAGCUCAAAUUUGUGGAGCAAAGUACCAGAGAAGAUAAACUGCUCCAAAUUCCAUGAGGCUGGGCAAGGAAAAACUUUGUGGAAAGAAGAAUUAUCAGGGAGCCCUAAGCUGAAAAAUUGCCAGGGCUCAUACAGACCUGGGGAAUUGGUUGAGUUUAUGCCACCUAUAGGAUAGAGAACUUGCUGAAUGUUCAAGGAUUUUGUUACAGAUGCCAGAAAGAUGACACUUAAAGGGAUGCAAAACUAACAUCUCUGGAUUAGUCUUAAUAGAGUUUAAAAAUAAGCUUAGAAAAA
RNAcentral lists this long non-coding RNA (1180 nucleotides) under Pongo abelii (Sumatran orangutan). RNAcentral describes it as "lincRNA". The record is from RNAcentral. Lineage: Eukaryota; Metazoa; Chordata; Mammalia; Primates; Hominidae.